UACAGAGGUCCCAAGCGUUGUUCGGAUUCAUUGGGCGUAAAGGGUGCGUAGGCGGCGCGGUAAGUCGGAUGUGAAAUCUCGGAGCUUAACUUCGAAACUGCAUUCGAUACUGCCGUGCUUGAGGACUGGAGAGGAGACUGGAAUUUACGGUGUAGCGGUGAAAUGCGUAGAUAUCGUAAGGAAGACCAGUGGCGAAGGCGGGUCUCUGGACAGUUCCUGACGCUGAGGCACGAAGGUCAGGGGAGCAAACGGG
Molecule: ribosomal RNA, 253 nt
Filed under: uncultured bacterium
Lineage: Bacteria
Description: partial 16S ribosomal RNA
Rfam family: Bacterial small subunit ribosomal RNA
Source: RNAcentral